GUCGAGAAUCUUUCACAAUGGGGGCAACCCUGAUGGAGCGACGCCGCGUGGAGGAUAAGGUCUUCGGAUUGUAAACUCCUGUCAUGCGUGAACAAGGUUGCUUGGUUAAUACCUGGGCAAAUUGAUGGUAACGCAAGAGGAAGAGACGGCUAACUCUGUGCCAGCAGCCGCGGUAAUACAGAGGUCUCAAGCGUUGUUCGGAAUCACUGGGCGUAAAGGGUGCGUAGGUGGCGUGGUAAGUCAGAUGUGAAAGCCCGGGGCUCAACCUCGGAACUGCAUCCGAUACUGCCAUGCUAGAGUACUGGAGAGGUGACUAGAAUUCUCAGUGUAGCAGUGAAAUGCGUAGAUAUCGAGAGGAAUACCAAAGGCGUAGGCAGGUCACUGGACAGUUACUGACACUGAGGCACGAAGGCCAGGGGAGCGAACGGGAUUAGAAACCCUUGUAGUCC
This 449-nucleotide ribosomal RNA is filed under the name uncultured bacterium. RNAcentral's name for it is "partial 16S ribosomal RNA". It matches the Rfam family "Bacterial small subunit ribosomal RNA", at positions 354 to 796 of the family's 1533-position model. The record is from RNAcentral.